This 9003-nucleotide long non-coding RNA is filed under the name Gallus gallus (chicken). RNAcentral's name for it is "lncRNA (ENSGALG00010006565.1)". Lineage: Eukaryota; Metazoa; Chordata; Aves; Galliformes; Phasianidae. The record is from RNAcentral.
AUCCUGGGUGGAUGAAUGGGGUUAGUGGCCCAGAACAUGUCAUCUUCAAGUGACCUGCUUCGCCACACUCACGUAACUUCUCAGGAACACCUCCCUUGCAACAUGGGCAGUGUAGCUCCAGUUGUGAAGGAGAAAGGAUAUCGAAAAAGGAACAGCCACAGCUGUAUGCAGAACAAUGAAUGCGCACUUCUUUGAGCUCAGUCUCUGUGAACUGCACACGUUGGUUGUUCAGCCCGUUCUUCCUGAUCUGACAAUGGUCUUGAGGAGGAGACUUAACAGUCUGGAGAUCUGGUGUAAGAUGGUCGGCUGUGUUUGCAUCCAAACCACUGAACUCAGCGGAAUGUUGGAGCACAGCACUAUUGGAGGCACACUGAAUAAAGCUUUCAACUACUGACAGCAUCUGAAGAACAUCAGGAAAAUGCUGAAAGCCUAGGUUUUCAAAUUUCAGAAAUCUGUGGCCUAUGUGGCUCCAUAGGCAGCUCUGGGCACUACUCAGAGAUCCAGUAAUAUUCAAAGAUUCCAGUGAUAUUCCAGCAUGAAGCCGUGCCUUGGUGUCUUCAGCUGGCGCUAGAACUGGUGAGUAAUAGAGCCUGACUAUGGAAGUGGAUGGUCCUGAAUGAUCUGCUAGCAGUAAUGAUUUAUCCGUACAACUCUUGUCCAACUUAAACAUGGGCUUCCCCUGAGACCCACAAUGACAAAUAUUUAAAGAUAUGUGAGAACAACAAACUGUUAAAAUAAUUCCUCCUAAGUCUUAUAGCCGCCAAUAUUAUGCAAGCGUACGGUAUGAAUCAUGUUAGCCUUCCCUGGAAAAGUCUGAGUUUCUUGCAGUCUUUCACUAGGAUCCUGCAUUGUAAUGGCUCAUUCAUUAUUUAUAUUCUUUCUUUCACUAAUGGGUUAGCAGCAGAUAUGAGAGGAGUUAGAAAAAAAACCAGAAAUCAGUGAAGUGGAGAUAUUUCUUAUUAUCAAUCCAUAUCAAAGGACACGUAGCAGGCAAAACUGGAGCCCUGAGUCUGUAGUAGGAGUGAAAUACUUGCAGUCUCAUCAUGUUCAUAACCAGAAAAGCUAUAUGGAAUCUAUUCUCCUCCAAGCCAGUGUGUUCACAUGUCAUCUGUGUGAAACAAAGAUCCCAUUUCUGAUAAAGCAACUUUUCAGAGGAAUAGUGUAAGGCUAUUUGAAUAGGGAAGCUGUAAUUCAAACUAGUAUCACUCUGUACAUCUCAGAGCUUUUUCAGCAAAUUUUUACAGCUACAUAAAACUCUCAAGGCAGGAAUUUAGUAGAAAGAUGCAUUUUAUGAAGCAAGCAUUUGUUUAUUACCAAGUGAUGCAGUGAGUCAUUUGGCGACCCAGUGGUUUCCUUAUUGCAUGGCUGUACUGUGAAAUUCCACAUGAAAAGUAGGAACAGUCUCCACGUGUUGCAUCACAGAAAUGCUGUCUUUAGUAUGAAAUGAUUUUGUUGAUGCUCUUAGUUGUUCUCUGUUUGUCUACAGUGUUACUCAGUGAGAUGAAAUAGCAGACAUAGCAUAUGGCAUCACCUAUAUCUCAGUAUACAAAAAUGGUGGUUGCAGUGAUGCUGAGAUGGAAACUUGGUCUCAGAAUACACAGUUUGCAUUCAAACCACUAUACGUAUUUCUGAAGUUAUCCAGAAUAUUGCCACUCUACUGUAAGCAGUAAAGCACAAAGGGGAAAGAAGAUUUUAAAGGACAAGCUUGUAAAUCCAUUUGCAAUGUCAAUACAAUUUCAGACACAUUUUCCCCAGCCUCAAAGAUAUUGUUGCCAAAGAUUUGCGACAGAUUAAAAGCACCAGGAAAACAUAAACAUCUCAGCUCUGACACUGUGUCAACAAGCAAUUUCCAUAGUGUUUUGCAAAGAUCAGAAAUUAUUCAGUGAUAAAAUACAUUAUCCUAAACAACAGGGAAAACACUCAAAUCAAGGACACAUUCUUUUCCGCCUUAUAUCUUAUUUACUCUUUCUUUAGGCCCCAGUUAAAUGUAUCACUGAAGCACUUCAGAAUACUUCCUAAUUUACAAUAGUAAUGCUUGAAGGAUUUAAGCUAAACAUGCUGUGAACAGAUUUGCCAGAGUUAGGCUUUACAGAUUUGAGAGAUGAGCUCAACGGCCAGGACAAGCUGCUGUUGAUACAGGUUUGUGGCAAAGAAUGCUGGUAGUUUGAGCUGUAUUUUUGCUUCUUCUUUUCAACAGCCUAGCAAGUAAUAUAAUAGCUGGAGGAAAAAAAAAUGGUGUAAUGCAGCAUGGCAACAAAUCUCUCUUCACUAAUACGUUCCGAAGAAUGGCUGCUGAAGCUGGGGAUGACCAAGGGAGCACCGAGUGCCUGGGAGAAUCUCUGCAGAGUAGUUGCAUUGCUGUGAACUCCACCAUGCUGCUGGAAUAGAAAGGAAGAGCCAGAUCAGAAGCAGUCACACAGGAGAAGGUUUCUGAAAGCCCAGUGGGCUUUAUGUCAUGAGAAGGUCACGAGCAGUGAGCUGUCAAACUGUGCAUUGAGGCCUUACUUCUGCUGUAAAGUUAUGGCUGUAUUACUGUACCAGGUAGUGGAAAAUCAGGCUCAACAGUUAUUCUUCAUUAAAUGUAAAAUGUUUGCAUUUUAGCCAAUUAAAAUAUCUCAGUGUGUUCAAAUAAUCUGUAAAUCCGUGAUUCUGGAACCUGCCCAGAACUAAUUUAAAAAGCCAGUACCUGUAACAAAGACGUCACAAGUCAAAGAAUAUUAAAAGUGCCUUACUGUUCUAUAAAAUGAACACAGUUGGGUGAGAUUGCUCAGUCAGCAGGGUUGGUCAUGCUUGAGCAGGCUUAGCUCACUUUAAGUGCACCCUCUUACCUUAGGGUUGGGUCUUCUACCUGUGCUUCUCUGGUUCUCCACUGUAUUCCUAGUGCUGGGCAGGCACUUUGUAAAUAAAUAUUUUCCAAUUUGAAAAUGCCAUUUCAACAGUGGGAACUGGUAUCAAGUUGUGUGUUUCAAAUUGGAAGCAUUCAUUCUUAGUAAAAGAGAAUUUGUUCAAAGCUCAUUGCAAAGCUUUUGGAAUUGAAUGCUUCUUAUUUACAAUGCCUCUUUCAGAAAAGCUCUUUUAAAAAAUAAAAGCAUUUUAAUAAAAUGGUAUAUUUCUAUUGACAGGGCAUUAGGGGAAUGUUUUAUUACAUGGGAAUUUACAAAUUCUCUGGUCUUUUUUCCUCUUCAAACUUGGACAUAUUUCAAAAUGUCAGAAUUUCCUGUGGAACAGAAUUUUCAGUUCUGACAUACCCUUGUCUGUUGAGCCCUUAGAAUGAAGAACAGUCAUUAACAUUGGUAAUCAGCCAACAAACCCAAACUUGCAGGAGAGACAAAAAAGGUUAAGAGAGAGAGAGAGAGAGUAGAAAUACCUUAUGCAGACUUUUGUACUCAGCAUGUCCUCAGUAACUCAAGCAUACACACAAUUGCCUCUCUAACUGAACUUAGGUAUGGGAGCUUUCUAGCCCUAAACCUCUGACAUUGUUGUAUAAAGGAGGCAUCAGUGGUAUGGUACAACCCAUUCUUCAAAUCAUUUUUUUCAGCAAGCUGAAAAAUAAGGAAUAAGAUGAUAGGCUUUGUUUAAAUCUGUAGCAAAAAUAAUCACUCAUAAAGUCAUGGAAUGUGGAUGCAAGCAUUUGGGGCCUUUUAAAGCUGCCUUGCUUUGCUCAGCUGUACUACUUCAACUACUCAUUGUUGGCGUACUUGAAUCUUCAUCUACAAACUUGGAAAUCUCAAUUCCCCAUCUGAGUUAAAAGUCUAUAAUUUAUGUCCACAAAGUCUUCUGUUUUUUUUUUCAAGGAAAUUUAUCAAGUGGUUUCUCUGUCUCAAAUCCCCUUUCUGAAGAUUAAAAGAGGGAAUAUCUAAAGAAGAUAUAAUAUCCGGUGGCAUUCAGCUACUCAGUAAGAUUAAUUCUGCCUAAGAAGACGAUGGAUAAUUCACACUAUCGGACCAAUUUUCUUUUAAUUCCUAGAAAUGCUUCCAUCAGAUCAUAUACACCAAUGUAGACAAAGAGAGAGAGAUGUGGAGAGAUUUGUAGACAUCAGUAAAUACAGCCAGUUAACUUUUGAUGAACUGAGGACCAGAGAAAGAAUACUAAUGAUUUGGAAGGAGGUUCUGUGGUACUAUUGCUUUUAAAAGAAAUAAUUUAAAAAAGGAACCAAAAAAUGUUCAGGGCUUUGUUUAUUACAAGAAUGUAUAAAUCUGGGUGCACAAAGAACAAAUAUGCUAUCUACAUAAAACACUUCAGUUUCCUGGCUCCUCCUACUUGGAUUUACUGGAUUAUAGCCAAGGAGUCGUAACUGCCAGAUUUUUCUCUAACAGAAAACCCAUCUGAGCGGAAUUUAGUAUUGGCAGAGGAUGUUUGGAGACAUGUGUGAAAAAUUAGGAACCCUUUAAGGGAAGAAGUCACCCAAUUAAAAACGUGCAGAAAAUAAUCCAUCAUACAUUCCCAUCAAAUCCCUUUUGCUUUCAAGUACCAAAAUAAUGACUGGAUGAGACCCGAGUUGAGUCUAGAGCUGGCUGAACUGCUUAUUGUGGAUUGAACAUUGUUUUUGAAGGGAGAAAAUUCUGAAAUGAGCUUUUUAAUGUUUUUAGUCUUGAUUUUAAGUUCUUUCCCUGUGGAAUAUUUUUGCAUUAAUAAUAUUCAGUCUUUUGGCUGUUUGAAUGAGCUUUCUUCAAGCGUUUUAGUGUAUUUGUACGUGCCAUGUGUUUGUACUUUCAAGUAGUGUUUUUCCUGUCUGGAUGACUCUUAAAUUUUAAAUAGGAUCACAAAUCAAUGAAUGAAAACAUCAAACUGUCACAUAUUCAGUUUCAAGAGGAUAAUCACUUUCUUAAAACGUAUGAAACAUUUGUAAUCACAGGCAUUUGGACGAAGCGCUCAGUGAUUUUCUAAAAAGCAGCACAAUAAUAAUACUAAUUAACAGAUCACAUUCUGCAGCUUAUGAGCAACCAUAUUUGCUACUUAAGAGGCUUUUAGUUUUGCUUUGUAAAUACUGACUCAACUCUACCAUAAUGCGUGUGGUACAGGACCAGUAGAAUGUAAAACAGGGAGUUAGUUUUUCUGUUGUGCUGAGAAAACCAAAAAGCUGCAAAGGAAAGAAAGCUCAGUGUUCUUCUUUUUUUUUUUUUUUUCUUCACCCCAAAAUAGAGCUAAGUGUUGGAUUUCACAAUUUUGUAAUUAUUAAUCAAAACACAUUCUUCUUCAAAGUAAUAGCCCCAUUUUUAUAGAAAAAGUCAAAAUAAUUUCCUUAUUUCCAUAGUUAAAUAUUUACUUUCCAACAUUAUGAAACCUUUGAGUGGCAUUCAUUUCAUCAGCUAUAAGAAUCACAGUUUCAAAUGCAUACCCUUGAACAAAAUAAAUUGACCUCCAGACAUGCCUGUUUCUCCACAUUGGCUAAAACUUUGGGGUUAGACAAAAUGCUUAACUUAGUCUUGGCUACAGAUAAGUAUUUUCCCAAAAGAAACUCUCCCCAAGCCUGUCUUUUUUGGAGUAGGUUUGAAAUUGCUUUACAUAUUGAACUCUUAAGUAUGUGAUUGCUUGUCAGCUCAAACUUGAGUUACUCCGCAUAUUUGGUUCGGCUUCACAUCUGAAGAAUGCCCCAGAGAGAGAAAUGAUCAUAUAGCCUUUACUUCUCUACCGAAUUUAAGUUCCAUUAUUUUUUCCCAUUUUAUCUCUUUUAUCAUAGCUGCAGGGUAUGUUACAGAGUUAUCCUUUACUCUGCUAAUCAAGAAGAAUGUGUCUAUUAUUCUCUACAUUUAUUUCAUAGAAGAGAUCACUGUUCCUGGGCAUAUGCAAGCAAACUCUUCACAUCACCAGACAUCAUUGGAAGUCUGAACAGCACACUGAAUUUCCAGCUUUGUGGCUUCUAUGAUUGAUUAAAAAGACACUCACAACCUGUGAAGAUUAAAUAACUUUAAAAUGAAUAUGAAAUACAUUUUGUAUCCUUAUAUUGAUGAAACUACUUCUGGAAAUAAAGAGAUUUAAUUUAGUACUUUUUGUUUCUUGUGCAAAUUGUGGUAUCCCUAUCAAUGUAUGUCUUAUUAGACAACUAGUUACAACAUUUUUUCAUAGAAUCAAUGCAAAAUUCAAGGAAUAUCAUAAGAAAGGGAAGUCUAGUCUUCUGCUCAAAACAGGACUAGCUUCAAUAUUAGGUCAGGUUGCUCUGGGUUUUGUCUAGUUGAGUUAUGAGUACUUGCCAGAAUGGUCUCCACAAGUCCUUUGGACAACUUGUUUUGAUGUUUGGCCACCUUCAUUGUGAGGAUUUUUUCCUAGUCAGAAUUUCCUUUUUGUGAUUCAUCUCUGUUGCCUCUUUUGCUAUUGACUUCCCAGAAAGUGUCUUCAUUUUCCUUGUAACUAUCCAGCAGGUAGUCACGACAGCAGUUAGAUGCCCCUUUUAGCCUUCUCUUCUGCAGACCAAGUUCUCUCAGCCUCUGUAAAUCAUGCACACCAGACCUGGCCAUUUUAGUGAUGCUCUGCUAAUGUAUAAUUUUCCCAUUUUCUGCAUUUUCUUAGGAUUUCUACCUUAAAAAAUCCCAAGCCCUUGAAGUUAAAGCAAAUCUUUAUUUGUAUAAUUGCUGAUAAAUUUGCUGUAACUUGAUCAUCCCAAAAGAGAACUGCUUGAAAAGUAUAACCAGCCUUUCUAGUCAUCUGGUCUGUAGAAGGGUGGAUUACUCUGUCAAGGCAGCCAAAUUUAACAGGGAAAAGAACCAGAUUUAGCAACCAUAUCAAAAGCAGACAUUGUCUCAAGAGACAUAAGACCCAUACUCCAUCCAGAUACGAGCCAAGGCGAGUAGCACAAACAAGUUCCUAACUCCCUAUUUAAAGGGGGAUGGAAAGUGUAUUUCUUAUCUAAAACUGUUUAAACUCCAAAAUUAGUAAUGAUUAUGCAUAGAGUUAAAAAUUACACAUACAUUUAUGGAGCCGUGCUGUAGAAGAGCAAUGACAGCGUGAUCAGAACUAAUGCACUGAGACCCUUCUCAGCAUAAAAUAUUAAGAGUUAACAUAAAGUACAGAAACACAGAAUCACAGGAUAGCUUGUGUUGGAAGGGACCUUAUAGGUCAUUUGGUUCCAACUCCUGCCAUGGGCAGGGCUGCCACCCACCAGAUCAGGUUGCACAGUGCCCCAUCCAGCUUGACCUUGAAUGUCUCCAGGGACGGAGCAUGACAAAGGGGCACGAAAAUUAUCACACGUGUUAGUAGAGGGCCUCUAAGAUGAUCAAGAAUCUGGACAGCAUGACUGGAAUUGAAAUGGCAGUUCUUCCUUGACUUUAGUAACACCACUGUAGACUGGCAGAUUGCUCCUCCAUUAACUUCACAUUCAUAGAACAUCCUCUGAGCCUAGACCUGCUUUCACGUUCAUGGGAUCUGUUUUAAAUACCAUAGGGGAAACUGGACCUGUACUCCUAGCCCCUGCGCGUGGAAGCCCCAGAGUUAGCAUCAAAUGCAGAAUGAAGCCAGUUAGGAACUGAAGUGAAGAGUCAGCUGGGAAGGGACACGUGUGCCAUCCUGAAAGCAGGCUGAGCGCCUGCUGCUGCCGCUGGCCCCUCUGCAAGUAGGUCAGCGGCCUAUUUGUGGUGUCCGUGCGGCUGCAGGCUGCCAGCAGGGAGUGAGUCAGCUGGGCCACAGGAACCCUGCACAAGGCCGCGGCCGUGGGGAGCCUCUGCUGUUUCCCUUCCCAAAGCACUUCGCCCCCUCCCUGCAGUGCGGAGAAAUUGAAUCCCACUUUCAGGAGAGUCAAAGGAUACGUGCUCGUUCUUGCGGGACAGCUGGGGGCUGGCAGUCUCGGCUGUCUGAUGGCUGCUGUUUUGCUUCUGGGAGUGAGAGCUGAAAGACUUCCCCUGACCCCAAAAGCUCCAGCCAUAGUCUGAGUCUGAGAUGGUGCCAAUGCCCUUCCUGUAGCAAGGCUGAUAUAUUUUUAUCUCAUCUUUGUAAGCAACACCACCAACUGCAACACCAUCUGCAGGGGCGAAGAGAACUUCUGCCAGGUAUGGGGUUGUUUUUAUAGGUAGCAGGAUUUGACUUGCUUGUUGAAGGAACUUGGGCCCAUUUGUCGUGUCAUGGUGAUGUGGUUUAACCAGACACGUGGACCUCCUGUCCAUUGGGUGACCACUGGGAAAGUAUCCCUUCAUUCCUUUCAGACCAAGCACAACUGCUGGAGUGAUGGACACAAGGAGAAAAUCAGCAGCCUCUUAACCAACCUGGCUUCUGAAUCGCUAAUUCUGUCUGCUGUGCCUCAGCUGUGUAAUUCUCUCCUGCACAGCAAAACAGAAUUUGUGAUCUCUACAUGUUUUUCCACGACUUCUGGACCUAUGCCUAGAAGACAAAACCAGUGCAUAAUAUAAAUGAUUAAGAUAGACAGUAUUAUAAAUUAAUAUAUUAUAGCAAUUAAAAUAAUAUUUAUUACUAUAUAUUAGAAAUUAAUAUAGAGGCAAAUGUAUGCAGCUAGCUAGGCUGCUAGUGUCCAGAAAUUCCUCCAAUGUGCACUGUGCAAAGGCAGACCUUUUCUCUUGCUUUGGUGCAUGUUCAGUAAGCUUAGUUAUGAUAUCUAUGUUUCAAGGUAUGUAUCGUGCUAUUAAAGUGCACAUGUGCAAAAUGUCCAUUAUAUCCCAAAUAUUUCAGAUUUACGUGACCCACAGAGACAAAGCAGCUGUGUCCCCAGUGACUAUUUAUUUGUAAAAGAGCCUCAAGAUUUUUCCCACGUGAUUCUGCUCGUUGCUUGCUGUUGAGCUAGUAACAUUUCCCAUCUUUCCUUCCCUCCAUAGUCCUGACACUUUGCCUGUUUUGUUUUAAAAAGGAGUUACUGUAGAAGUUUCCAAAGGAUAAUUAUCUGGGGAAAUACUUGUGUUCUCUGGAAGUCAGCAUCAUGAAAUACCUGCGGAUUUUCUUCAAAGAGGAGGAAAGUUUAAAUACAGGAACACUGGCACAUUAGCUCAUUUCUAUUUUUUAUCUGCCUAUUUUAGAUUUGUAGCUACAGGCAAACCCUAACGUAGGGUAAACUUUGGCUUAAGG